UUUAGCAUGGAAUAAUGAAAUAGGACUUUGGUUCUAUUUUGUUGGUUUCUAGGACUAAAGUAGUGAUGAAUAGGGACAGUUGGGGGCAUUAGUAUUCGAGAGUCAGAGGUGAAAUUCUUGGAUUUCUUGAAGGCUAACAACUGCGAAAGCAUUUGCCAAGGAUGUCCUCAUUGAUCAAGAACGAAAGUUAGGGGAUCAAAGACGAUUAGAUACCGUCGUAGUCUUAACCAUAAACGAUGCCGACUAGGGAUCGGUGGACGUUAUUUCAUGACUCCAUCGGCACCUUAUGAGAAAUCAAAGUUUUUGGGUCCCGGGGGGAGUAUGGUCGCAAGGCUGAAACUUAAAGGAAUUGACGGAAGGGCACCACCAGGAGUGGAGCCUGCGGCUUAAUUUGACUCAACACGGGGAAACUCACCAGGUCCAGACAUAGUAAGGAUUGACAGAUUGAGAGCUCUUUCUUGAUUCUAUGGGUGGUGGUGCAUGGCCGUUCUUAGUUGGUGGAGUGAUUUGUCUGGUUAAUUCCGAUAACGAACGAGACCUUAACCUGCUAACUAGCUACAUGAACCUCGUGUUCGUGCCUAGCUUCUCAGAGGGACUAUCUGGGUUUACCAGGUGGAAGUUUGAGGCAAUAACAGGUCUGUGAUGCCCUUAGAUGUUCUGGGCCGCACGGGCGCUACACUGAUGAAAUCAACGAGUAUAUAACCUUGGCCGGAAGGUCUGGGUAAUCUUUUGAAACUUCAUCGUGCUGGGGAUAGAGCAUUGCAAUA
Molecule: ribosomal RNA, 767 nt
Filed under: uncultured fungus
Lineage: Eukaryota; Fungi
Description: bacterial SSU rRNA
Rfam family: Eukaryotic small subunit ribosomal RNA
Source: RNAcentral